GAUGAACGGUAGGUACAGGGUUAACACCUGCAAAUCGGGGGGUCACCAGAAGAAAGCUUGGUUUAUCCGAUGACGACCGGCGCCCGGGUGAGUUUAGGGUAUUCAACCUGUCCAUAAGUAGGGAAUAACCCUGCGAAAGUAAGAUUAAUGCCCUAAGGUUUCCAUUAAAGACAUUUGAGAGGGAAUAAAGAUUUAUCGGUAAGGGAUGGGGAUGCGUCUGAUUAGGUUGUAGGCGGGGUAACGGCCCACCAAGCCGACGAUCAGUAGGGGUUCUGAGAGGAAGGUCCCCCACAUUGGAACUGAGACACGGUCCAAACUCCUACGGGAGGCAGCAGUGAGGAAUAUUGGUCAAUGGACGGAAGUCUGAACCAGCCAAGUAGCGUGCAGGAUGACGGCCCUAUGGGUUGUAAACUGCUUUUGUUGACGGGGAAUAAAGUUCUAGGCGCACG
Molecule: ribosomal RNA, 449 nt
Filed under: bacterium AB2008
Lineage: Bacteria
Description: bacterial SSU rRNA
Rfam family: Bacterial small subunit ribosomal RNA
Source: RNAcentral